UAAUAAUAAUAAUAAUGUUUAUUUCCAAAGACAAAGGUACAAUAAACCAUGCACAACAGGUGCAAUAGUAACAAGUAGAAUACUACAACAAUAUUACAAAAAUAACAAUAUUAAUAACAACGUAGAUUCUGCAUAAAGUACAAUCUAUAUGUAAAUAUAUAUACACAAUAUAGCAAUAACAUUAUUAUGAAUUCCACAAAUAAAUCAAUUUUGAAAUAAACAAAUGAACCACUAAGGCUAAAAAGCCAGCGCGUGGUUGUAAAGUGUUUUUUUUACAUAAUAAAAUUUAACAAAUAUUUCAACAAUGUAUACUGCUUAAAUGAGACAAUAUGAUGACAAUGAUACUAAUACUGUGUGAACAACUUAUUAAAAUUUUGGGAUAAUGUCAUUAGUGUGCUGUUUUCAGUGAUAAGCACUAUAUGGAACUUUAUUCGUGUCUAUGAGAUUAUGUAUUAUUUCUCUAUCUGUUUCAUGAAGGUACUGUUUUGUAUGUUUUCUGAAUGAUAUUACUGAUCUUGAGUCCUUGAUUUUCCUAGGGAUGUUGUUGAAUAUUCGUGUGCUAAGAUAAGUAUAUCCUCUCUGCCCAAUAGUUUUGGAUGAAUAUUCCGUGCGCACCAUGUUUUCUUUUUUUGCCCUGGUACUGUAGUUGUGGUCAAUAUUCUUUAGGCUACUUUUGUUUUUGAAUUGAUCUAUCGCUACACGUAGGAAGUAGAUUUGUCUGAGGUCUAAUAUUUUACUCUCAGAAUAAAGCAAGGUCGAUGAAUACGUUCGAGAUUUAUUGAAACAAAUCUUCAGGAAUUUUUUCUGUAAAAUAUCCAGAUGAGAUAAGUAACUGCUGGCAACACCUCCCCAACCUAGGAUUCCAUACGAUAAUCUAGACUCGACCAAUGCAUGGUACAGGAUUUUCAUUUGGUGAUUGAAAUCGGGGAGAUGAGAUGAGUAGCAAGAAAAAGGUUUUUCCAGGAUGUGUCUUCAUAGAAUAUUGCCGUGUCAUCCGCAAAACUAAUGAUUUCUCCAUUGGUCUGAGAGGUGAAAGAAAUAUUGAUGACUGUGUCCGAACUCCCUUCAGUGGUGGAAUUGCCGGUGCCUUAAUUUUAUCAGCAAAUUUCUUCCCUAGCAUUGUAAAAUGUUCAUUGAAUACGUUAGCUAUUUCAACUCUAUCAGUGAUUGUUCUAUUUUCGUAUUGUAUCCGAUUUACAGUAUUCUGUUUUUUGGCAGCUGAUAAUUCCUUCACAGUAUUCCAAAUUAUUUUACUAUCACCUUUACUAAGGUCAAUUUGUUUUUUAUAAUAUGAGGUUUUAGCAUUUUUUAUCAAUAUAUUAACUGUAUUUCGGUAUCUCAAAUAUUCUUUUUUUAGGAUGUCA
Molecule: long non-coding RNA, 1364 nt
Organism: Harmonia axyridis
Lineage: Eukaryota; Metazoa; Arthropoda; Insecta; Coleoptera; Coccinellidae
Exons: 4
Source: RefSeq, a predicted model, not a curated record